Molecule: ribosomal RNA, 504 nt
Filed under: uncultured bacterium
Lineage: Bacteria
Description: partial 16S ribosomal RNA
Rfam family: Bacterial small subunit ribosomal RNA
Source: RNAcentral
AUUGAACGCUGGCGGCAGGCCUAACACAUGCAAGUCGAACGGUAGCACAGAGAGCUUGCUCUCGGGUGACGAGUGGCGGACGGGUGAGUAACGUCUGGGAAACUGCCCGAUGGAGGGGGAUAACUACUGGAAACGGUAGCUAAUACCGCAUACCGUCGCAAGACCAAAGUGGGGGACCUUCGGGCCUCACACCAUCGGAUGUGCCCAGAUGGGAUUAGCUAGUAGGUGGGGUAAUGGAUCACCUAGGCGACGAUCCCUAGCUGGUCUGAGAGGAUGACCAGCCACACUGGAACUGAGACACGGUCCAGACUCCGACGGGAGGCAGCAGUGGGGAAUAUUGCACAAGGGGCGCAAGCCUGAUGCAGCCAUGCCGCGUGUAUGAAGAAGGCCUUCGGGUUGUAAAGUACUUUCAGCGGGGAGGAAGGCGGUGAAGUUAAUAGCUUCACCGAUUGACGUUACCCGCAGAAGAAGCACCGGUUAACUCCGUGCCAGCAGCCGCCGUAA